This is an RNA transcript of Cercocebus atys (sooty mangabey), 785 nucleotides long. It is a transcript of the gene named cofilin-1 pseudogene, with no coding region annotated. NCBI's taxonomy places the organism in Eukaryota, Metazoa, Chordata, Mammalia, Primates, Cercopithecidae. The transcript has a single exon. The record is from RefSeq and is a predicted model, not a curated record.
GUCCAGAAAAUAUAUUUGAUUUGCUUCAAAUCUUCGUAAAGAUGUUAAGACUUGGUUCAGUUGGGUCCUAGCAGCGGUGUCUUCUGAGGCUCUCCGUGCCCUCUCCUUUUCACUUCCGGAAACAUGGCCUCAGUGGUGGCUGGUCUCUGAUGGUGUCAUCAAGGUGUUCAAUGACAUGAAAGUGCGUAAGUCUUCAACGUCAGAGGAGGCGAAGAAGCACAAGGCGGUGGUGUUCUUCUGCCUGAGUGAGGAUAAGAAGAACAUCAUCCUGGAGAAGGGCAAGGAGAUCCUGGUGGGCGAUGUGGGCCAGACUGUCGACAACCCCUACGCCACCUUUGUCAGGAUGCUGCCAGAUAAGAACUGCCGCUACGCCCUCUAUGAUGCAACCUACAAGACCAAGGAGAGCAAGGAGGAGGACCUGGUGUUUAUCUUCUGGGCCCCUGAGUCUGUGCCCCUUAAGAGCAAAAUAAUCUAUGCUAGCUCCAAGGAUGCCAUCAAGAAGAAGCUGACAGGGAUCAAGCAUGAAUUACAAGCAAACUGCUACGAGGAGGUCAAGGACCGCGGCACCCUGGCAGAGAAGCUGGGGGGCAGUGCCGUCAUCUCCCUGGAGGGCAAGCCUUUGUGAGCCCCUUCUGGCCCCCUACCUGGAGCAUCUGGCAGCCCCACACUUCCCCUCGGGGGUUGCAGGCUGCCCGCUUCCUGCCAGACUGGAGGGACUGGGGGGAUACCAGCAGAGGGAGGGCAAUCCCUUCACCCCAGUUUCCAAACAGAUCCCACACCCCCUG